AGUCUGGUGCCAGCAGCCGCGGUAAUUCCAGCUCUAAUAGCGUAUAUUAAAGUUGUUGCAGUUAAAAAGCUCGUAGUUGGAUUUCGGCGUGCGCUCAGGCUGGUCGGCCGUCAAGGUCUGUACCGUUUGGGUCACGCCCCACUGUAGGAUACUCACCGCUGUCCUUAACUGGGUGGCGGUCAAAGGGGGUGUGCAUGGGGGCAACUCUGUGCAUAUCUCUGGGGUUCCUACUCUUUUACUUUGAGCAAAUUAGAGUGUUCAAAGCAGGCAAUCGAGCCUUGAAUACUUCAGCAUGGGAUAAUGGAACAGGACUGGGGUCCUGAUUUCGUUGGUUUCUGGGAUCUCAGUAAUGAUUAAUAGGGAUAGUUGGGGGCAUUAGUAUUUAACUGUCAGAGGUGAAAUUCUUGGAUUUAUGAAAGACUAACUUCUGCGAAAGCAUUUGCCAAGGAUGUUUUCAUUAAUCAAGAACGAAAGUUAGGGGAUCGAAGACGAUCAGAUACCGUCGUAGUCUUAACCAUAAACGAUGCCGACCAGCGAUUGGGAGACGUUACAUGGAUGACUCCCCCAGCAGCUUGCGAGAAAUCACAAGUCUUUGGGUUCCGGGGGGAGUAUGGUCGCAAGGCUGAAACUUAAAGGAAUUGACGGAAGGGCACCACCAGGAGUGGAGCCUGCGGCUUAAUUUGACACAACACGGGGAAACUUACCAGGUCCAGACAUAGUAAGGAUUGACAGAUUUGAGAGCUCUUUCUUGAUUCUAUGGGUGGUGGUGCAUGGCCGUUCUUAGUUGGUGGAGUGAUUUGUCUGGUUAAUUCCGUUAACGAACGAGACCUUAACCUGCUAAAUAUGUCACUGGUAGACUUCUGCCAAAACAGGUGGGUGUCUAGGGGAAAGUUUCGAUGGACUCCGACGCAUUCAUCUGUGGAUGACUACCAGGAUGUACUUCUUAGAGGGACUAUCUGUAUCAAAGCAGAUGGAAGUUUGAGGCAAUAACAGGUCUGUGAUGCCCUUAGAUGUUCUGGGCCGCACGCGCGCUACACUGACAAGUUCAACGAGUUUAACACCUUGCUCGACAGGGCUGGGUAAUCUUUGAAAAACUUGUCGUGAUGGGGAUAGAUCAUUGUAAUUAUUGGUCUUCAACGGGGAAUUCCUAGUAAGCGUGAGUCAUCAGCUCGCGUUGAUUACGUCCCUGCCCUUUGUACACACCGCCCGUCGCUCCUACCGAUUGAACGAUCCGGUGAAAUGUUGGGAGCUGGGGUCUUUUGGCGGCGGGGCAACUCGUCGUCAGGGAUUCUGCAAACUUCAUUAAACCUUAUCAUUUAGA
RNAcentral lists this ribosomal RNA (1321 nucleotides) under metagenome. RNAcentral describes it as "SSU rRNA". It matches the Rfam family "Eukaryotic small subunit ribosomal RNA", at positions 558 to 1777 of the family's 1831-position model. The record is from RNAcentral.